UUACUUUAAAUAUGGAACCCUUUGUGUUCAAGCUCUGGAAUGGAUCUGGAAUGACUUUGAAAGGGGUAAGGGAAGAAGAAGAAACGAAAAUGCUCUGAAUGGCUCUGAUACUCCACCUCUUGAAAGAAUAUCACAAUGGCAGCUUUGAAAGAAUAUCACAAUGGCUCUGAUACUCCACCUUUUGAAAGAAUAUCGGCACACGGUUUUGAAUGAAACCACCAUCCAUGGUCUGAAAAGAAUACAAGUUAUAAUUGUAAAAGUGGUCUGAAAUUGUCAAAAUAAUUGUAAAAGUUGUCGGGAAUCCUGAGUGAGUCAUGUGUCCUCCUGACAGGAGGAACCCACACACACACACAACGCACGCAACCACACACGCACACAACGCACGCACACAAACAUCACACACGCAGACACGACCU
Molecule: long non-coding RNA, 416 nt
Filed under: Malus domestica (apple)
Lineage: Eukaryota; Viridiplantae; Streptophyta; Magnoliopsida; Rosales; Rosaceae
Description: long non-coding RNA (MDOM_LNC016568)
Source: RNAcentral